CCCUCCCUCCCAGACCCUCCCAACUCCUGGACCGCAUCCAUUUUGAAGCUGCAUUCUUAGUGAGCUGUCCAGGAGGUGGGAGGGUCUGGGAGGGAGGG
RNAcentral lists this microRNA precursor (98 nucleotides) under Pelobates cultripes (western spadefoot toad). The record is from RNAcentral. Lineage: Eukaryota; Metazoa; Chordata; Amphibia; Anura; Pelobatidae.